RNAcentral lists this long non-coding RNA (816 nucleotides) under Linum usitatissimum (flax). RNAcentral's name for it is "long non-coding RNA (LUSI_LNC004715)". Lineage: Eukaryota; Viridiplantae; Streptophyta; Magnoliopsida; Malpighiales; Linaceae. The record is from RNAcentral.
UCUAGCUCUCCCCGCCUAUAUAUUUAGGUAUGCAUACUUCUUUGAUUUUGUCCAUACUUUUAAUACCGCAAUUACAUCUCUUAACUGCAUGAAAUUAUGUUAUUAUAUGUACUUCUGCUUUAUAUAUUACAGAAUUUGAAACGUACGCACAUACAUAAUUAACGUACGAUGGCGCUGAAAGGUGUGGCGGCCGCCGGUCUCUUGAUGAUCAUCGUGCUGAUCAUAGACACCGACUGCGUCGAAGCAUCCAGAAAGUUCUUCGUCGUAGACAGGAAUAAGCCUGCCAAUUCGCGACAAGUGCGAAUCGUUGGUGGCGAUGGUGGGAAGUAUAAUUACCUUGUCGAAAGACAGCUGCUGGUUAUUGAUGACAGCGAUCAUGGCGAGUCGACGAAUUAUAAGAAUGGUAAUAGUAAUCAUGAUUACAAUAAUAAUAAUAAUGGUAGUUCCAAGAACCGUGGAGGAUCGUCAAACACGGUUAACAACCACCAUUACAUCCCCCGGCAAGACUUCAACAACUACGGCGGCGGAGAUGCUGGCGGCGGGAGUGGUUAAUUAAUAUCCUCUGGCGCCCGACGACUGAAGGUUAAAUAAUAAAUAAAUUUAUACUUGUAGUGAAGUAUCAAUAUACCCUUAUUUUUGUGUUUGCUUAUUUACGUCUGUAAUAUAAAAGUACCUAUAUACCCUUAUCUAUGAAUUGUUUCAAGUUACAAUCGCUGUAAAUAUUGUGAAUAUUGUAAGGUUUGAAUUGGUAUACUGAUGUAUGUUUGUUUAUGAUUUAUCGAUUCAUUUACGAUAUUAUAUUUUCCUUCGGAAUAA